RNAcentral lists this long non-coding RNA (418 nucleotides) under Vulpes vulpes (red fox). RNAcentral describes it as "lncRNA (ENSVVUG00000006085.1)". Lineage: Eukaryota; Metazoa; Chordata; Mammalia; Carnivora; Canidae. The record is from RNAcentral.
AUUCCAUGACUGUAAAAAAAAAAAAAAAAGUGAUUAAAUGGCUAACAGCUGACCUUCCCCAAAUUUUAUGUUUUUUAAAGAGCUGAGGUGACAAGCUGAUGGUAUCUGUGGCCUUUGGAAAAAGCACAUAUCAUAGCUGCUGCCCUACUUGAUGAGCCCUAUUCCACCCUCCCACACCCGAUCCUCAUUCUGGCAUGACACCAGCUCUGCUUCCAGCCCCAAGUAUCAUCUUCUGCCCGCCUGUUCCUGCAGCUCUAUGUGAACUUUGGUUUCAAGUUAGCAUCUCAACAUCCAUUUGGCAAAGACUUUUGGAAGGGGCUGUUAUGUACCACCCUGGAUCUAGCAUCAGGGAUCAAAUGGCAAGAUUAUACUACUUGAUAUCUUGAGCUUCAACAGAAUUUCUUUCCUUGGAGGUUAU